AAAAGCACCCCGGAAGGGGAGUGAAAUAGAACCUGAAACCGUGUGCUUACAAGUAGUCAGAGCCCGUUAAUGGGUGAUGGCGUGCCUUUUGUAGAAUGAACCGGCGAGUUACGAUUUGAUGCAAGGUUAAGCAGUAAAUGUGGAGCCGUAGCGAAAGCGAGUCUGAAUAGGGCGUUUAGUAUUUGGUCGUAGACCCGAAACCAGGUGAUCUACCCUUGGUCAGGUUGAAGUUCAGGUAACACUGAAUGGAGGACCGAACCGACUUACGUUGAAAAGUGAGCGGAUGAACUGAGGGUAGCGGAGAAAUUCCAAUCGAACCUGGAGAUAGCUGGUUCUCUCCGAAAUAGCUUUAGGGCUAGCCUCAAGUGAUGAUUAUUGGAGGUAGAGCACUGUUUGGACGAGGGGCCCCUCUCGGGUUACCGAAUUCAGACAAACUCCGAAUGCCAAUUAAUUUAACUUGGGAGUCAGAACAUGGGUGAUAAGGUCCGUGUUCGAAAGGGAAACAGCCCAGACCACCAGCUAAGGUCCCAAAAUAUAUGUUAAGUGGAAAAGGAUGUGGCGUUGCCCAGACAACUAGGAUGUUGGCUUAGAAGCAGCCAUCAUUUAAAGAGUGCGUAAUAGCUCACUAGUCGAGUGACACUGCGCCGAAAAUGUACCGGGGCUAAACAUAUUACCGAAGCUGUGGAUUGUCCUUUGGACAAUGGUAGGAGAGCGUUCUAAGGGCGUUGAAGCAUGAUCGUAAGGACAUGUGGAGCGCUUAGAAGUGAGAAUGCCGGUAUGAGUAGCGAAAGACGGGUGAGAAUCCCGUCCACCGAUUGACUAAGGUUUCCAGAGGAAGGCUCGUCCGCUCUGGGUUAGUCGGGUCCUAAGCUGAGGCCGACAGGCGUAGGCGAUGGAUAACAGGUUGAUAUUCCUGUACCACCUAUAAUCGUUUUAAUCGAUGGGGGGACGCAGUAGGAUAGGCGAAGCGUGCGAUUGGAUUGCACGUCUAAGCAGUAAGGCUGAGUAUUAGGCAAAUCCGGUACUCGUUAAGGCUGAGCUGUGAUGGGGAGAAGACAUUGUGUCUUCGAGUCGUUGAUUUCACACUGCCGAGAAAAGCCUCUAGAUAGAAAAUAGGUGCCCGUACCGCAAACCGACACAGGUAGUCAAGAUGAGAAUUCUAAGGUGAGCGAGCGAACUCUCGUUAAGGAACUCGGCAAAAUGACCCCGUAACUUCGGGAGAAGGGGUGCUCUUUAGGGUUAACGCCCAGAAGAGCCGCAGUGAAUAGGCCCAAGCGACUGUUUAUCAAAAACACAGGUCUCUGCUAAACCGUAAGGUGAUGUAUAGGGGCUGACGCCUGCCCGGUG
Molecule: ribosomal RNA, 1347 nt
Filed under: Staphylococcus aureus
Lineage: Bacteria; Bacillati; Bacillota; Bacilli; Caryophanales; Staphylococcaceae
Description: partial 23S ribosomal RNA
Rfam family: Bacterial large subunit ribosomal RNA
Source: RNAcentral